UUGGAUGGUUUCAGGCUUCU
RNAcentral lists this non-coding RNA (20 nucleotides) under Arabidopsis thaliana (thale cress). Lineage: Eukaryota; Viridiplantae; Streptophyta; Magnoliopsida; Brassicales; Brassicaceae. The record is from RNAcentral.